This 520-nucleotide ribosomal RNA is filed under the name uncultured Archaeospora. Its description in RNAcentral is "SSU rRNA". It matches the Rfam family "Eukaryotic small subunit ribosomal RNA", at positions 569 to 1093 of the family's 1831-position model. Lineage: Eukaryota; Fungi; Glomeromycota; Glomeromycetes; Archaeosporales; Archaeosporaceae. The record is from RNAcentral.
AGCAGCCGCGGUAAUUCCAGCUCCAAUAGCGUAUAUUAAAGUUGUUGCAGUUAAAAAGCUCGUAGUUGAAUUUUAGGCCUGGCCGGGCGGUCCGUCUUUGGCGAGUACUGUCCUGUGUCGGGUCUUCCUUCUGGUGAACCAGUAUGUCCUUUAUUGGGUGUGCCGGGGAGCCAGGACCAUUACCUUGAAAAAAUUAGAGUGUUUAAAGCGGGCUUUUGCUUGAAUAGAUUAGCAUGGAAUAAUAGAAUAGGACGUUGUGGUUCUAUUUUGUUGGUUUCUAGGACCACCGUAAUGAUUAAUAGGGACAGUUGGGGGCAUUAGUAUUCAAUUGUCAGAGGUGAAAUUCUUGGAUUUAUUGAAGACUAACUAUUGCGAAAGCAUUUGCCAAGGAUGUUUUCAUUAAUCAAGAACGAAAGUUAGGGGAUCGAAGACGAUCAGAUACCGUCGUAGUCUUAACCAUAAACUAUGCCGACUAGGAAUCGGGCGACGUUAUUUCCAUGACUCGCUCGGCGCCUUAUGG